RNAcentral lists this ribosomal RNA (533 nucleotides) under Sclerophora farinacea. RNAcentral describes it as "eukaryotic LSU rRNA". The stretch from base 171 to 325 matches the Rfam family "5.8S ribosomal RNA". The record is from RNAcentral. Lineage: Eukaryota; Fungi; Ascomycota; Coniocybomycetes; Coniocybales; Coniocybaceae.
CAUUACCGAGCGAGGGUCCCGUGGCCCAACCUCCAACCUUGUGUAUCGUCCCUUGUUGCCUUGGCGGGCCGUGGGCACGCCCACCGUCGGCCCACGCCGGCGCGCGCCCGCCAGAGCCCCCCCAAAUCCUGCCAAUGGUGCCGUCUGAGCGAGCGCGGAAUAAGCAACAAAACUUUCAACAACGGAUCUCUUGGUUCUGGCAUCGAUGAAGAACGCAGCGAAAUGCGAUAAGUAAUGUGAAUUGCAGAAUUCAGUGAAUCAUCGAAUCUUUGAACGCACAUUGUCGCCCCCUGGAAUUCCGGGGGGCACACCUGUCCGAGCGUCAUCAGUACCCUCAAGCGCGGCUUGUUGUUGGAUCGUCGCCCCCCGAGGCGGGUCCCAAAGACAGCGGCGACGUGGCUCCGACCCCAAGCGCAGUGACAUCCUCUCGCUUCCGGGAUCAGAGACGCGCUGGCCAUCCAACCUCACGUCAGGUUUGACCUCGGAUCAGGUGGGGAUACCCGCUGAACUUAAGCAUAUCAAUAAGCGGAGGA